This 521-nucleotide long non-coding RNA is filed under the name Androctonus crassicauda. The record is from RNAcentral. Lineage: Eukaryota; Metazoa; Arthropoda; Arachnida; Scorpiones; Buthidae.
GAUAAUCAUGAUUUGUUUUGGUUACACUAAUAAACUUGCGGCGCAUGGGGUGCUGUGGGAUGGAUGGGGGGUGCUUGAUCGGGGCUUCCUGGUUGGAUGUGGUUAUGUUGGCGGAGGCGUGGAAUGCAUUGGAUAUUUUGGGAUGCUUGGUGCGGGAUCUUGUGGACUGGGCUGUCUAAUUUGCCGGGGUAUCUGUGAGAUAAGAAUGUCUUCACUAUGUCCGCUUCCUCCAUAAGGGGUUUGUAGGCUCGCCAAACGGGUGGGGAGAUGUUGGCGUCCUUGUACCUAGCUGCAUCUUUGAAACACUCAUGAAAUAUUUAUUAUAGAUAUGACAGUAGAUUUUUUCACACAAACUAGAGAUGCUCUUAUGGCUAUCCCUAUAGCGAGCUAGCAGAAAUCUUAGAAAAAGUGAAGAAAUUGUCAUCCUUUCUAUUAAGGACUCCCUCAAGUUUUCUGCCCACUAAAUCAAUGACAUUUUUAUGAUUGUUGAUAAUAAGAAUGUUGCUAGCGAUUUCACUGCC